UACGGAGGAUCCAAGCGUUAUCCGGAUUUAUUGGGGUUAAAGGGUGCGUAGGCGGCUUAUUAAGUCAGGGGUGAAAGACGGUGGCUCAACCAUCGCAGUGCCCUUGAUACUGAUGAGCUUGAAUACACUUGAGGUAGGCGGAAUGUGACAAGUAGCGGUGAAAUGCAUAGAUAUGUCACAGAACACCAAUUGCGAAGGCAGCUUACUAAGGUGCAAUUGACGCUGAGGCACGAAAGCGUGGGGAUCAAACAGG
RNAcentral lists this ribosomal RNA (253 nucleotides) under uncultured bacterium. RNAcentral describes it as "partial 16S ribosomal RNA". It matches the Rfam family "Bacterial small subunit ribosomal RNA", at positions 524 to 776 of the family's 1533-position model. The record is from RNAcentral.